CCUACGGGAGGCAGCAGUGGGGAAUUUUGGGCAAUGGGCGCAAGCCUGAUCCAGCAAUGCCGCGUGAGUGAAGAAGGCCUUCGGGUUGUAAAGCUCUUUUGUCAGGGAAGAAACGGCUGAGGCUAAUAUCCUCGGCUAAUGACGGUACCUGAAGAAUAAGCACCGGCUAACUACGUGCCAGCAGCCGCGGUAAUACGUAGGGUGCAAGCGUUAAUCGGAAUUACUGGGCGUAAAGCGUGCGCAGGCGGUUUUGUAAGUCUGUCGUGAAAGCCCCGGGCUUAACCUGGGAAUUGCGAUGGAGACUGCAAGGCUUGAAUCUGGCAGAGGGGGGUAGAAUUCCACGUGUAGCAGUGAAAUGCGUAGAGAUGUGGAGGAACACCGAUGGCGAAGGCAGCCCCCUGGGUCAAGAUUGACGCUCAUGCACGAAAGCGUGGGGAGCAAGCAGGAUUAGAUACCCUGGUAGUCCACGCCCUAAACGAUGUCUACUAGUUGUCGGGUCUUAAUUGACUUGGUAACGCAGCUAACGCGUGAAGUAGACCGCCUGGGGAGUACGGUCGCAAGAUUAAAACUCAAAUGAAAUUGACGG
RNAcentral lists this ribosomal RNA (586 nucleotides) under uncultured bacterium. RNAcentral's name for it is "bacterial SSU rRNA". It matches the Rfam family "Bacterial small subunit ribosomal RNA", at positions 338 to 916 of the family's 1533-position model. The record is from RNAcentral.